Molecule: ribosomal RNA, 253 nt
Filed under: uncultured bacterium
Lineage: Bacteria
Description: partial 16S ribosomal RNA
Rfam family: Bacterial small subunit ribosomal RNA
Source: RNAcentral
GACGAGGGAUCCUAGCGUUGUUCGGAAUCAUUGGGCGUAAAGCGGGUGUAGGCGGGCUUAUAAGUCAGGUGUGAAAUCCCAGGGCUCAACCCUGGAAGUGCAUUUGAUACUGUAAGUCUUGAAUGUGGUAGAGGUUACUAGAAUUCCUGGUGUAGUGGUGAAAUACGUAGAUAUCAGGAGGAAUACCAGAGGCGAAGGCGGGUAACUGGGCCAACAUUGACGCUGAGAUCCGAAAGCGUGGGGAUCAAACAGG